GUUGGGUUAAGUCCCGCAACGAGCGCAACCCCUACGUUUGUUGCUAACGCGUGAAGGCGAGCACUCUAGACGAACUGCCGUUUGACAAAACGGAGGAAGUGGGAUGACGUCAAAUCAUCAUGCCCCUUAUGUUCUGGGCUACACACGUGCUACAAUGGCCGGUACAGACGGAGGCGAAGCCGCGAGGCGGAGCAAAUCCGAAAAAGCCGGUCUCAGUUCGGAUUGCAGGCUGCAAUUCGCCUGCAUGAAGUCGGAAUCGCUAGUAAUCGCAGGUCAGCAUACUGCGGUGAAUACGUUCCCGGGCCUU
Molecule: ribosomal RNA, 307 nt
Filed under: uncultured Pelotomaculum sp.
Lineage: Bacteria; Bacillati; Bacillota; Clostridia; Eubacteriales; Desulfotomaculaceae
Description: bacterial SSU rRNA
Rfam family: Bacterial small subunit ribosomal RNA
Source: RNAcentral